UACGUAGGUGACCAGCGUUGUCCGGAUUCACUGGGUUUAAAGGGUGCGUAGGUGGGCAGGUAAGUCAGUGGUGAAAUCUCCGGGCUUAACCCGGAAACUGCCAUUGAUACUAUCAGUCUUGAAUACCGUGGAGGUAAGCGGAAUAUGUCAUGUAGCGGUGAAAUGCUUAGAUAUGACAUAGAACACCAAUUGCGAAGGCAGCUUACUACCCGAAUAUUGACACUGAGGCACGAAAGCGUGGGGAUCAAACAGG
RNAcentral lists this ribosomal RNA (253 nucleotides) under uncultured bacterium. RNAcentral describes it as "partial 16S ribosomal RNA". It matches the Rfam family "Bacterial small subunit ribosomal RNA", at positions 524 to 776 of the family's 1533-position model. The record is from RNAcentral.